UAUGCGUGUCCUGGUCGAGGACAGGACAAUAACCGAUUCGUUCGACCGGUUCCAUCCAUUCCACUGUGUGGUGGAUGUCAGUGGUGAGAGGCAGGUGCGACCGUGACUUGCCUUCCUCCCUUCGGUUCACGUAAUUACGCUUGCGCGUAUCUCUGUCGCGCCCUCGUACGUACGUAAGCACGAGACCGUUCUACACGAAUGCACGUGCUUUAGCCUCGUCUAGCUCGCCAUCCACCCGCCUGUAUUACCUGACGAGACCGCGUUACGAUACGUGUGUACAUAACGGGGCCAUGUAAGCAACGUAGUGUGAUAUACGGGGUGGCUUAGCCUACGUGCAUCGUGGUUGGAUGAUUUCUGUGUGACGAGGCGUUUUGGAAGUGUAAGCCUAAGAGAAUGUAACUCGACUGGUUUCUGAGAACUCUGAUGGAAAUGUUCAAGCUGCAGAAUGUAAGACGGCGCAUCCCUCAUCGAAUCGGUCGGCUAAAUUCGCCGAUCUGGCAAAGUGUCGCGGGUGUCUAUUCCCCGUGACCUUGACUUGGCGGCUAAGAGGUUUACCCUGGUAAACCCCGGUAUCUCGGGAUACCACUCGGGGGUGGUCUCGGUCGUAGGGAUUAAGACAGGGUUGUUCGACGGGACGACAGAGGGCUGCUGGGAUCGGCCCUGGUGGACGGGAGGAGCGGGGAGGGGAUGCAAAGGGGAGGAGGGGGGCGAGACGCCGAGAGAAAGGGAAAAGAGACUGCACCCGUAUAAUUGAUUGAGUCUAAUGAGUUAAAGGGGAUGGCUGGCGGUGGUGGAAUUAAAGAGUUCUGGGUCAUGGAGGCGACAACCGACCAGUUCCCCAGGAGGGAGACUUAGACUAUACCUCUGCCUCCUCCUGCUUCCUUCGCCUCGCCACGAGGGCGCUGAUUGUAAAUUAGUUAAAGGAGAUGGUUCAUUAGAAUCAGCUGAUCCUUGCCUUUUAACAGAUUCUUGGGGAUGAUGAGCGGUUGAUGAAAGGUUAUCUGUACUUGGAAUCCAUAUUACAAUUUUAACGAACCUUUAUGCAAUCUUUAUACUUUUCACAAAAGAUGUAUCAAAUUUUCAACACGAUUCAAAUCGUUCGUGGAAAUUCAAAAUUGUGGAUAUUCAAUCCUUCAGCUCGAUCUUUCUUAAUCGAGAUUACGAUUCCUCGAUUCGCGAACAAAAAUUAUCAAAAAUGUACGCUCGGAUCCGCGCGCAAUCUCAUUUCAUCCCCGCGAUAUUACUUUUCGGUCGUCGCGAAACAGUAUCUCGAGGACGUGUCUCUCGGUCGCUUUUCAAUUUGCUUGCUUGCGGGAGAGGGAGGGAAGGUGGGAGGCCGCGGAACGCGCGGAAGGAAGGAAGUGUCCUCCUUCAUCGGGGAGAAAGGGGAGGAGCGCGCGAGGAGCGUCUUCUCUCCACAUCCCCCAAGGGAAAUUAUUGACAGUCAGCGAAGGAAAUGACGUCGUAAAUACCACGUCGGUGGCGCACCCCCUCGAACCCGCUCGUUUCUUUUCGCCGACCUUAAACCUCCCCCUCCUAUUGCCAGGCGCCACCUUCUUGCGCUGCUUCUUCUCGCUUAAUCCCCCUUUGUUCCCUUCGCGCCUUCGCGUCUUCCUGCACGUUUCUACAAUUAAUUCGAUUAAUUCGAUUUUCCUUCUUUUGUUCCAAUCGUUAUUUUUUUAUUCAUUUAUUUUGAGACGAUGUAUCGUUUUCUCGUGAAAAUGGAGUGGUUGGAAAAGGGUUUCUUCGAAUGUAGAUUGUGAAAGGAAUGAAUGAUCGUGGAAUGUUUAAAGAUUAGGGCGGUAGAAAGGGAUAGGUUUAUCCUUCUUCUUUUUUGAAUUUAAUAUAAAAUUUUUGAAUAAACUGCAUUUGGAGAGUUUCGAUGGUGGAUGAAUUAUUCCUUCGUUCUUGUUGAGCAUAUUUUCUACUUUUCUUCUUACUUUCUGUCUUUAUUCAACUGUUUCGUUUCAAUCUUUCGAAAUGGAACGAGAGAAGGUUGAAACAGAGCAGCCUUUUAGAAACAUUUUGACCAAAAUGGAAGGUAGAAGUAGGUAGAACGAGGCCAAGAGAGUAGGAUUAAAACAUUCUUUGGAAACUUCUCAUUACGUAAAAUACCAGUCAUUGAAACGUAAAUUUGUGUUAGGAUAAUUGUAACAAUUGCAGAAAAUUGACAAGUUCUUUUGAUAAUCUUGAUUAAUCAUAAUCAUUAAAAGUGUAAACUUUUUUAAAAAAAUUCUCUUUAGAAUUA
This 2248-nucleotide long non-coding RNA is filed under the name Apis mellifera (honey bee). RNAcentral describes it as "uncharacterized LOC102656511". The record is from RNAcentral. Lineage: Eukaryota; Metazoa; Arthropoda; Insecta; Hymenoptera; Apidae.